Molecule: non-coding RNA, 1214 nt
Organism: Paramuricea clavata
Lineage: Eukaryota; Metazoa; Cnidaria; Anthozoa; Malacalcyonacea; Plexauridae
Source: the annotation of a GenBank genome assembly
CCAAAACUAUUGAAAUAAUGUACCGUAUUGUUAGAAACGCACGGCUAAAAAUACAAAUACUGCUACCAUGGCUAAAAACGCACAGGUUGCUCCAAGUUGAUAUCGACAGGCGUGAACAAUGUUGUGCGGCCAACUAUGAACAAGUUGUCAACCAUGUUGUUCCAAGUUGUUACAGUUGAACAAUGCUGUAACAACAUGUUGACAAUACUGUUCAUAGUGGGCCGCACAACCUUGUUCAUGCCUGUUGAUGUCAACCUGGAACAAGUUGUUGAUUUUCUCAAUUUUUAUGUGUGUAGUACUAAGCUGAAUGCAAAAAUAUUGACAGUGUGCACACUGCAUACAGUAUAUUAUGAAUAUUGACUAAUUAAGAAAUUAAAAUAUCUUUGUAAAGUGCACAAUUUUCUGCUCUUGGGAAUUUAACAGCUCUUACGGGCCAAGUCACAAUAUUCAUGUUGCCACAAAUAACAUUGAAUCAAUGUUAUCACUUCAUCCAUGGCACCCACCCACUCCAGAUAAUGUUGAUCGAUAUUCAGUCGUAUUUUGACUUCCGAUUUGACGUUAUUGGUGGCAACAUGAAUAUGGACGUGGCCCCUAUGGGGCUGAUUACAUGGAGAGUUUUCAACCAGGGCUAAGUUUCAGCCUGGCCCAAGGAUAAAAUCCUAUUAAAACAUAGCAAGUGGUUAUUACACGAUUAUUCAGCCACGUUUGAGCUGCCCAGGCUGAAAUUUCAGCCCGGCAGCAUGUAAUCACAAAUAAUUCCAGCCCGGGCUAAAAAAACAACUGUUUAAAUGGCUUUAUUUUGAGUAUUUGUUUCAUCUUUAAAAAUACUAUACAUGUAACCACAGUCUCGCAAAAGUCAAAUAGUCAACUAAUCAGCAUCUUAAUGCUUCAAAGAAAUGUAACAGACUUAUUCUCAUAAUAGAUAUUAUUCUCCUAUUUUGCUACACUCUACUGUAUUUUGUGAUAAUUUCAGCUGGGGCUGACAUUUCAGCCUGGGUUAACUAUAAAUACUGUAAACCUCCGACUAUAAGCCCUGAGCUUAUAUACUUUCGUAAGCGAUUUAUACAAGGGGGGGGGGGCUUAUAUAUGGGGGUGCUUAUACAUGGACGAUAUUUUGUGUUAGUAAUAAACAAGUCAGACAUAAAAAAAUCAGUCAUAAAAAAGAAAUAAACAUGUAUUAAGCAGCGAUUACUGGGCUUAUAUUAAUUAGGGAA